UUUAAGUUGCCUGUAUAUUAAAAUUAAUUAGUUGCAUUGAAGAUUAAGAAAGGAUGUGUACAGCCAUUGAUAUCAUCAAAAUGACCAAUUUUUGGCCAUUGAUGCCCUAUUAGAACACCAACUAACACAAGACAUGGCCAUUCUGGCCUUUCCAUAUGAAAACAAAAGGCACAUCUACAUGAUUACAUUUCCGCAUACACAUGGAGGUGAUGAAGAUCAAUGGAAGGCAGCAGUGACAGCCCUUGAAGUCUUGGCGGAGGGGGCAUCAGGCUGCGGGGAUGGGAGUAAGGUGAAUGCAAAUAUUCCACUGGCCGCGGCAGCAACCCCUCCCACCACAAAAGCUGGUAGAUUACCCCCUCCAAAUAAUGCAUCCCAUGGUCCGCUUACUACUGACACCACCAUCUGUGGUAUAACAAUUGAAAGAUUCAGAACUCCCAAAGAAAGUCCUUGACCAGCACCAGCAGUGUUACAAAAUAUUGAUGCCAAAGCAAAGGGAAUACUGUAAGUUAUAGCUUGAGGUACACCCAUCACCGCAAAAAGGGCCAAUGCACCAGCCUUGACGUCUCCAGGUGGUGGCAAGGGAACCGUGGCGCCGCCUCCCACGGUGGCGAACCUUCUGUGGGAUUCAGCCAUUUUGGUGAUCAAGAUCGUCAUGAACAAACAAAAUGAAAGAAUGAAAUUCACUAUACCCCACAAUCUUUUCACUCCUCCGACAGCACGCGCCAGCACCUCCACACCAAGGGAGGUGAACCCCAAAACCACCGAGUUAAGCAUCAGACCCAGUGCACCAGCGCGCACCCCACGAUCAUACAACCUCACUUGAUCGGGAUUUCCGUUUGAAUCUCCGCCGUAUACCUCUCUACCCAUCCAAUCAGUAUCGAACAACAAGAAUGGAAACCAUGCAACCCAGUUCAGGCACGUCACCAGAAGAAGGAUCCACAUGGGUUUUUGCAGAUUCUUCAAAGAUGCAAAUAUCUCACUGAAGAACGGCAUCGGAGAAGACUCCGACGCCCCCUCGUCCUCCUCCUCCUCGUCACCGGCAGCGGUGUUUCCUCGCUCUGGGGACCAAGGCUUUUCACGAACGUAAAUGAGAGCUAAUACAGUGAGAGUUAAAAGCAAGACAAUGGAGAUAAAGAAACAAGAUUUCAGAUUUGCACAGUAAACGUCGCAAGCUUUCGUCUUUGUGAAUGGAAAUAUUUUAUAUAAAUGAGUGUAGGAUCCAGCGGCAAAGCCAAGAACGUUCCCGACGGCCAUGAAGAAGGAGUACAGUGCAUUAGCUAUACGCGUCUUCUUCUGAUUGGCACCAGAAAGAUCGGCGAGGAGAGCACGGCAAGGACCCUGGAGCAUGUUAUUAGCGACGUCAAGAAUCCAGAACCCAACGACAAACACGGCUAUAGCUCGUGGUUUGGGGCUCUUGGCAACAGGGUCACCAGAGAGUUGACCAAGGUCAGCAGCAUAACCGAUAAGGAAAACAGCUACAGCAACGGCCAAAGCACCGCCUGCAAUAAAAGGGCGGCGACGGCCAAAACGGGAGGUGCAACGAUCACUAUGAUAGCCGACAAUUGGCUGGACAAGCAUUCCUGAAAUGGGUCCACAUAGCCAGAUGAAAGCAGCCCAUGUGUGAGGUAUACCAAGAAGCUGAACGUAAGGUGUCAAAAGAGAGAGCUGCAAAGCCCAGCCAAACUGGAUACCAGCAGCUAUGGAGGCCACCAUUACAAUCUUUCUAAGCUUGCUUGAAGCGGGUGGUGGAGGAGCUAGGGGCGGAGGAGUUGGAAGAGGUUCAGAAGAGGGGAGUUUGGAUUCUUUCGUAGGAUCAGUCUCCAUGGGAGUUGGUGGUGAGAAGAGUGUGGCGGCGGUGAUGGUGGUUGUGGUGGUGGUAGAAGUAGAGAGGUGGUUUUGUACAUAGUUGGGUCGGAUUUGCAUGGGAAUUUAUAAUAGAGUGGCAACUGGCAAAGAGUGGGUAUGGCCUUAUCCAAAAUGGUCUACGUCUUCAGUUGCAAAAUAGUGUACGGUGCAGAUUCCUUCUUUCCACGUGUGC
Molecule: unclassified non-coding RNA, 2038 nt
Filed under: Hevea brasiliensis (rubber tree)
Lineage: Eukaryota; Viridiplantae; Streptophyta; Magnoliopsida; Malpighiales; Euphorbiaceae
Source: RNAcentral